This 292-nucleotide ribosomal RNA is filed under the name uncultured bacterium. Its description in RNAcentral is "partial 16S ribosomal RNA". It matches the Rfam family "Bacterial small subunit ribosomal RNA", at positions 505 to 796 of the family's 1533-position model. The record is from RNAcentral.
GUGUCAGCCGCCGCGGUAAUACGUAGGGGGCAAGCGUUGUCCGGAUUUACUGGGCGUAAAGCGCGUGUAGGCGGCUACGCAGGUCCGUUGUGAAAACUGAAGGCUUAACCUUCAGACGUCGACGGAAACCGCGUGGCUAGAGUCCGGAAGAGGAGAGUGGAAUUCCUGGUGUAGCGGUGAAAUGCGCAGAUAUCAGGAAGAACACCAAUGGCGAAGGCAGCUCUCUGGGACGGUACUGACGCUGAGACGCGAAAGCGUGGGGAGCAAACAGGAUUAGAUACCCCAGUAGUCC